This 900-nucleotide ribosomal RNA is filed under the name Halobacillus sp. MO-21. RNAcentral describes it as "bacterial SSU rRNA". It matches the Rfam family "Bacterial small subunit ribosomal RNA", at positions 228 to 1128 of the family's 1533-position model. The record is from RNAcentral. Lineage: Bacteria; Bacillati; Bacillota; Bacilli; Caryophanales; Bacillaceae.
GGCCCGCGGCGCAUUAGCUAGUUGGUGAGGUAACGGCUCACCAAGGCGACGAUGCGUAGCCGACCUGAGAGGGUGAUCGGCCACACUGGGACUGAGACACGGCCCAGACUCUACGGGAGGCAGCAGUAGGGAAUCUUCCGCAAUGGACGAAAGUCUGACGGAGCAACGCCCCGUGAACGAUGAAGGUCUUCGGAUCGUAAAGUUCUGUUGUUAGGGAAGAACAAGUACCGUGCGAAUAGCGGUACCUUGACGGUACCUAACGAGGAAGCCCCGGCUAACUACGUGCCAGCAGCCGCGGUAAUACGUAGGGCAAGCGUUGUCCGGAAUUAUUGGGCGUAAAGCGCGCGCAGGCGGUUCCUUAAGUCUGAUGUGAAAGCCCACGGCUCAACCGUGGAGGGUCAUUGGAAACUGGGGAACUUGAGGACAGAAGAGGAGAGUGGAAUUCCACGUGUAGCGGUGUAAUGCGUAGAUAUGUGGAGGAACACCAGUGGCGAAGGCGACUCUCUGGUCUGUUUCUGACGCUGAGGUGCGAAAGCGUGGGUAGCAAACAGGAUUAGAUACCCUGGUAGUCCACGCCGUAAACGAUGAGUGCUAGGUGUUAGGGGGCUUCCACCCCUUUGCUGAAGUUAACGCAUUAAGCACUCCGCCUGGGGAGUACGGCCGCAAGGCUGAAACUCAAAGGAUUGACGGGGGCCCGCACAAGCGGUGGAGCAUGUGGUUUAAUUCGAAGCAACGCGAAGAACCUUACCAGGUCUUGACAUCCUUGGACAUCCCUAGAGAUAGGGCUUUCCCUUCGGGGACCAAGUGACAGGUGGUGCAUAUGUCGUCAGCUCGUGUCGUGAGAUGUUGCGUUAAGUCCCGCAACGAGCGCAACCCCUAAUCUUAGUUGCCAGCAUUCAG